GACGAACGCUGGCGGCGCGCUUAACACAUGCAAGUCGAACGCUGAAGCUCAGCUUUUGUUGGGUGGAUGAGUGGCGAACGGGUGAGUAACACGUGAGUAACCUGCCCCCUUCUUUGGGAUAACGCCCGGAAACGGGUGCUAAUACUGGAUAUUCACUGGUCUUCGCAUGGGGGUUGGUGGAAAGGGUUUUUCUGGUGGGGGAUGGGCUCGCGGCCUAUCAGCUUGUUGGUGGGGUGAUGGCCUACCAAGGCUUUGACGGGUAGCCGGCCUGAGAGGGUGACCGGUCACAUUGGGACUGAGAUACGGCCCAGACUCCUACGGGAGGCGGCAGUGGGGAAUAUUGCACAAUGGGCGCAAGCCUGAUGCAGCGACGCCGCGUGAGGGAUGGAGGCCUUCGGGUUGUGAACCUCUUUCGCUCAUGGUCAAGCCGCAACAAUGGUUGUGGUGAGGGUAGUGGGUAAAGAAGCGCCGGCUAACUACGUG
This 483-nucleotide ribosomal RNA is filed under the name uncultured bacterium. RNAcentral's name for it is "partial 16S ribosomal RNA". It matches the Rfam family "Bacterial small subunit ribosomal RNA", at positions 28 to 507 of the family's 1533-position model. The record is from RNAcentral.